GAUGAACGCUGGCGGCGUGCCUAAUACAUGCAAGUCGAGCGAACGGACGAGAAGCUUGCUUCUCUGAUGUUAGCGGCGGACGGGUGAGUAACACGUGGAUAACCUACCUAUAAGACUGGGAUAACUUCGGGAAACCGGAGCUAAUACCGGAUAAUAUUUUGAACCGCAUGAUUCAAAAGUGAAAGACGGUCUUGCUGUCACUUAUAGAUGGAUCCGCGCUGCAUUAGCUAGUUGGUAAGGUAACGGCUUACCAAGGCAACGAUGCAUAGCCGACCUGAGAGGGUGAUCGGCCACACUGGAACUGAGACACGGUCCAGACUCCUACGGGAGGCAGCAGUAGGGAAUCUUCCGCAAAGGGCGAAAGCCUGUCGGAGCAACGCCGCGUGAGUGAUGAAGGUCUUCGGAUCGUAAAACUCUGUUAUUAGGGAAGAACAUAUGUGUAAGUAACUGUGCACAUCUUGACGGUACCUAAUCAGAAAGCCACGGCUAACUACGUG
This 497-nucleotide ribosomal RNA is filed under the name uncultured bacterium. RNAcentral's name for it is "partial 16S ribosomal RNA". It matches the Rfam family "Bacterial small subunit ribosomal RNA", at positions 28 to 507 of the family's 1533-position model. The record is from RNAcentral.